RNAcentral lists this ribosomal RNA (163 nucleotides) under uncultured Actinomycetes bacterium. RNAcentral describes it as "uncultured actinobacterium partial 16S ribosomal RNA". It matches the Rfam family "Bacterial small subunit ribosomal RNA", at positions 136 to 295 of the family's 1533-position model. The record is from RNAcentral. Lineage: Bacteria; Bacillati; Actinomycetota; Actinomycetes.
CACUGGAAUAACAGUUGGAAACAGCUGCUAAUGCCGGAUACGACCUUCGGUGGCAUCACCUGGAGGUGGAAAGUGCUUAGCGGUCAAGGAUGGGCUCGCGGCCUAUCAGCUAGUUGGUGAGGUAACGGCUCACCAAGGGCUUCGCACGGGUAGCCGGGCCUGA